RNAcentral lists this ribosomal RNA (500 nucleotides) under uncultured bacterium. RNAcentral describes it as "partial 16S ribosomal RNA". It matches the Rfam family "Bacterial small subunit ribosomal RNA", at positions 30 to 523 of the family's 1533-position model. The record is from RNAcentral.
AUUGAACGCUAGCGGGAUGCCUUACACAUGCAAGUCGAACGGCAGCGCGGACUUCGGUCUGGCGGCGAGUGGCGAACGGGUGAGUAAUGUAUCGGAACGUGCCCAGUAGCGGGGGAUAACUACUCGAAAGGGUAGCUAAUACCGCAUACGCCCUACGGGGGAAAGGGGGGGAUCGCAAGACCUCUCACUAUUGGAGCGGCCGAUAUCGGAUUAGCUAGUUGGUGAGGUAAAGGCUCACCAAGGCGACGAUCCGUAGCUGGUUUGAGAGGACGACCAGCCACACUGGGACUGAGACACGGCCCAGACUCCUACGGGAGGUAGCAGUGGGGAAUUUUGGACAAUGGGGGCAACCCUGAUCCAGCCAUUCCGCGUGUGCGAUGAAGGCCUUCGGGUUGUAAAGCACUUUUGGCAGGAAAGAAAUCGCACGGAUUAGUACUCUGUGUGGAUGACGGUACCUGCAGAAUAAGCACCGGCUAACUACGUGCCAGCCGCCGCCGUAA